GAUGAACGCUGGCGGCGUGCCUAAUACAUGCAAGUCGAGCGAACAGAUGAGGAGCUUGCUCCUCUGACGUUAUCGGCGGACGGGUGAGUAACAUGUGGAUAACCUACCUAUAAGACUGGGAUAACUUCGGGAAACCGGAGCUAAUACCGGAUAAUAUAUUGAACCGCAUGGUUCAAUAGUGAAAUACGCUUUUUCUGUCACUAAUAGAUGGAUCCGCGCCGCAUUAGCUAGUUGGUAAGGUAACGGCUUACCAAGGCAACGAUGCGUAGCCGACCUGAGAGGGAGAUCGGCCACACGGGAACAGAGAAACGGUCCAGACUCCGACAGGAGGCAGCAGUAGGGAAUCUUCCGCAAUGGGCGAAAGCCUGACGGAGCAACGCCGCGUAAGUGAUGAAGGUCUUCGGAUCGUAAAACUCUGUUAUUAGGGAAGAACAAAUGUGUAAGUAACUAUGCAGGUAUUGACGGUACCGGGUCAGAAAGCCACGGCUAACUACGUG
RNAcentral lists this ribosomal RNA (497 nucleotides) under uncultured bacterium. RNAcentral's name for it is "partial 16S ribosomal RNA". It matches the Rfam family "Bacterial small subunit ribosomal RNA", at positions 28 to 507 of the family's 1533-position model. The record is from RNAcentral.